Molecule: non-coding RNA, 952 nt
Filed under: Eremias brenchleyi
Lineage: Eukaryota; Metazoa; Chordata; Lepidosauria; Squamata; Lacertidae
Description: 12S ribosomal RNA
Rfam family: Bacterial small subunit ribosomal RNA
Source: RNAcentral
ACAGUUUUGGUCCUGGACUUACCGUUGCUUUUUAUUAAGAUCAUACAUGCAAGUCUCAGCAUACCUGUGAAAAUGCCCAAAACCCCCAAAAAGAAUUAUUGGAGCAGGCAUCAGGCACCACCCACUUUGCCCAUGACGCCUUGUCUUACCACACCCCCACGGGAUUUCAGCAGUAGUAAAUAUUGGGCCAUAAGUGAAAACUUGACCCAACUAUAAUAUUUAGGGCCGGUUAAUUUCGUGCCAGCCACCGCGGUUAUACGAAAAGCCCAAGACAACGGACAAACGGCGUAAAUAGUGACUAGAAACACUUAUUGGGAAAAAAUAUUAAACUCACAGACUAGUUGUAAAACACUUAAGUUGUGGAGGAAGCUCACAAAAAUAUUUUUUUACCUUAUCCCUUUGAUCACACGAAAGCUUAGAAACAAACUAGGAUUAGAUACCCUACUAUGCUAAGCCUUUAACAUUGAUAGUACGCUGUACCCCACUAUCCGCCAGAGAACUACAAGUGAAAAACUUUAAACUCAAAGGACUUGGCGGUGUCCCAUACCGACCUAGAGGAGCCUGUCCUAUAAUCGAUACCCCUCGUUCCACCCAACCUCUACUGGCAACCCCAGCCUAUAUACCGCCGUCGACAGUCUACCCCAUGAGGGUCCAACAGUAGACAUAAUAGCCCACCCACUAACACGUCAGGUCAAGGUGUAGCACAUGUUGAGGAAGAGAUUGGCUACAUUUUUUAUUAUAAAAAACACGAAAUGCAACAUGAAACCCUGCAUGAAGGUGAAUUUAGUAGUAAGAUCAAACAAGAGUGUUUAUCUUAACAUCGCUCUGGGACGCGCACACACCGCCCGUCACCCUCCUCAUCAUACUUAAAGCACUAUAUAAACCAACUUCGGCCUACUAGAGGAGGCAAGUCGUAACAUGGUAAGCGUACCGGAAGGUGUGCUUUGGAUAU